This is a regulatory RNA element of Lentibacillus amyloliquefaciens, 124 nucleotides long. It matches the Rfam family "ylbH leader". From Rfam's summary of the family: This family is a putative regulatory RNA structure that is found upstream of the ylbH gene in B. subtilis and related low GC Gram-positive bacteria. The record is from Rfam. Lineage: Bacteria; Bacillati; Bacillota; Bacilli; Caryophanales; Bacillaceae.
AUAGAAAAAAACCUGCAGAAAAUUUUCUGCAGGUCCCUUUGUUUUCGCAUCAGAAAACAAAAAGGCAAAGGGAGAGGAGAAACCGGAGGAAGAACUUAUGGGGAAGUGUAAGUCUUCUCCGUGU